Molecule: ribosomal RNA, 496 nt
Filed under: uncultured bacterium
Lineage: Bacteria
Description: partial 16S ribosomal RNA
Rfam family: Bacterial small subunit ribosomal RNA
Source: RNAcentral
AUGAACGCUGGCGGCGUGCCUAAUACAUGCAAGUCGAGCGAACAGAUGAGGAGCUUGCUCCUCUGACGUUAGCGGCGGACGGGUGAGUAACACGUGGAUAACCUACCUAUAAGACUGGGAUAACUUCGGGAAACCGGAGCUAAUACCGGAUAAUAUAUUGAACCGCAUGGUUCAAUAGUGAAAGACGGUUUUGCUGUCACUUAUAGAUGGAUCCGCGCCGCAUUAGCUAGUUGGUAAGGUAACGGCUUACCAAGGCAACGAUGCGUAGCCGACCUGAGAGGGUGAUCGGCCACACUGGAACUGAGACACGGUCCAGACUCCUACGGGAGGCAGCAGUAGGGAAUCUUCCGCAAUGGGCGAAAGCCUGACGGAGCAACGCCGCGUGAGUGAUGAAGGUCUUCGGAUCGUAAAACUCUGUUAUUAGGGAAGAAAAAAUGUGUAAGUAACUAUGCACGUCUUGACGGUACCUAAUCAGAAAGCCACGGCUAACUACGUG